RNAcentral lists this ribosomal RNA (253 nucleotides) under uncultured bacterium. RNAcentral's name for it is "partial 16S ribosomal RNA". It matches the Rfam family "Bacterial small subunit ribosomal RNA", at positions 524 to 776 of the family's 1533-position model. The record is from RNAcentral.
UACGGAGGGAGCUAGCGUUGUUCGGAAUUACUGGGCGUAAAGCGCACGUAGGCGGCUUAUUAAGUCAGGGGUGAAAUCCCGGGGCUCAACCCCGGAACUGCCUCUGAAACUGGUAAGCUAGAAUCUUGGAGAGGUCAGUGGAAUUCCGAGUGUAGAGGUGAAAUUCGUAGAUAUUCGGAAGAACACCAGUGGCGAAGGCGACUGACUGGACAAGUAUUGACGCUGAGGUGCGAAAGCGUGGGGAGCAAACAGG